CCCCUGACUCUCGGGAUUGCUUACCUUGGAGACGCCGGCAAAAGACAACUCUCCGUUGCCGAGCAACCAUGCCGGUCGCUACAGGCGAGCAUUGUGCGGCAUCUGCAGGGUCACUGGAGUGGAGCGGAGCCCCGACCACCUCCCCGGGCCGCUUCCCGCUCCGCCCGGCCCAUUUUCUGAGGCCACUGAGCUGCUGCUCUUGGCACCAGUUGUAGCUCACGGGGCCGCCCAGCUCGACAGCCUUCUACUGCUUCCCAGCCAAGCCCGUCGACCGGUCGGCGGCCUACCCCAGCCACCAUGACCUCCACCGUGGCCGACUCCAGCCCCAGACCUGCCGGCACCUACACCUUCUCCAGCCGGCCCCGAGCCCUGACCUGCCAGCGCCGUCGCUACCGGGACUGCUUCGGGGCGUCAGAAGAAGAACCUAUUCGCUAUGGAAACAUUAUGUAUGACAGAAGGGUUAUACGAGGCAACACUUAUGCUCUGCAUGCAUAUCCACCGACUUCUCAACCUGAUCCCGUUGAGCUCCAAAGGCAGCAGGAGGCCAAGAGGAAAGCUCUUGCCAGAAAGCGAGCCAGAGAACAUCUUCGACCAAGGAGUCCUGAACCUGUAGAAGGCAGAAAGCAUGUUGAUGUACAGACAGAGUUAUAUCUAGAAGAGCUUGCUGACCGCAUAAUAGAAGUUGAUAUGGAAUGUCAAACCGAUGCAUUUCUGGACAGACCACCAACACCACUUUUUAUCCCAGCCAAAACUGGCAAAGAUGUAGCCACCCAAAUAUUAGAAGGCGAGUUGUUUAACUUUGACAUUGAAGUCAAACCAAUGUUAGAAGUUUUGGUGGGAAAGACCAUUGAACAAGCUUUGCUGGAAGUCAUGGAGGAAGAAGAAUUGGCUGAACUACAUUUGCAACAACAACAGUUUGAAGAAUUACGGAAUCUGGAACUUGCAGAAGUACAGCGACUUGAAGAGCAAGAGAGGCGCCACCAGAAAGAAAAGGAACGUCGGAGACAACAACAACUAAUAGUAUUACAUAAACAGAAUGAGACUUCACAGAAAAUUGCAGCUCGAGCAUAUGCUAAGAUUUACCUGGCUGACCUCCUUCCAUCUGUCUUUAGCAACCUCAGAGAUGGUGGCUACUUCUAUGACCCUAUAGAAAGAGAUAUUGAGAUUGGAUUCCUACCAUGGUUGAUGCAUGAAGUAGAUAAGGCAAUUGAAUACAACAUGGUGGGAAGAUUAGUACUCGACAUGUUGAUUCGUGAGGUGGUUGAAAAUAGGUUGAAUAUGUUUGAACAGCUUGGAGUCAAACAGUCAAAGAGUUUCCCUGAUGAAGAUGAGAAAGAAAAGAAAGAAUCAUUGGCAACAGGAGAAGAACAAGUCACAGAGGAGGUCAACCAAGAGGAUUCAGAGCAAACAAAUGUUUCCCAAGAGAAGAAGCCGUCUUUAGAAAAGAAACCGUCGUUAGAAAAGAAACCAUCGUUAGAAAAGAAACCGUCAUUAGAAAAGAAACCGUCGUUAGAAAAGAAACCGUCGUUAGAAAAGAGGGAUUCCUUGGAGAGAAGCGCGUCUUUGGAGAAGAAGAAAUCAAUAGGGAAAGUGCCAUCUGAUGAGAAGAAAGAGCCAUGAGACCAAGUGACUGCCAAACCAUCAAAUAAUCAGCCAACUCCCAAUUUCCUUUGCCUGGAACCUUGAACACCUUGGGGACACCAGGGUCUGAUAGGAGACCUUCAUUCAAGAAGAUCAUUUGUCAUGCUUUGGGAAAAGAAAAGGUUUAACAACAGUUUUCUGGACUCAGCUACAGAUUGUGAAAAUUGUCUUGGGUGGGGGGAAGGGUAAGAAAAAAGUAAAGAUUUAUAUUUUGUGGUUGGUGAAUCAAUCAGUUACCAUGCUCUCUUCAUUUAAUGUCCAUUUUAACAUUAUGAUUUUCAUAUCUAAAUGAAAAAAACCACAGUACACCUUUUACUCAUUCCAAAAUUAAAGAAAGCUCAACAUAAAAAAAUUACACUCCUGACCAUGGCAUUGGCAUUUCUUUUUAUUCUUUUUUGUUGUUACUUAUUUGGUCCAGUUCUCUAUUUCUAUGAGUGUAGGGAAAAUGCCUCUACCAAUACAGACUUGUACUGUCUGGAACUUAUAGUCUCAGGGAGCUUCCAGGGGGUGCUAAGAAAUUAAGAUUCAGAACUUGAACACAGAUUUUCCUGACUCCAACGCCCUUCAUAUACCAUAUUGUGCUGGUAUUUUGAAAAACGUGUUUUGUUCUCUUAAUUACUAAUGAAGUAGGUCCUGAGAAGUCCUAGAAUGCUUCAAGAAAGGGCCUUGGAUACAUAUGUACAGUGUGGAAAUUAUAGCACUUUAUUUCCUUUAUUCAAAGCAUUUUUUUAAACUACUUAGAAUGCACAAUAAAUAAAACUAUUCAGUAUAUUCCCUUUUAUCCCCAUCCUGACCACUUUUAGAUUCGGUGGAAGGUACUUCUGAACAUAAAACAUUUUUAAUUAAUUACCAGUGGCUAACUAAAAGGAUAUCAUUUUAAAUUCCCUUUUAACUUUAUACUGAAAAAGCAAAAUAAAGUGGUCUUGUAGGCAGCAGCCAUAAGAAAAUCAAAAGAAAGCCAUUCUCUGUGGAAGAAAGGAUGCAGGGCCACCUGGGACCCCACCCAUUCAACUAUAUUCCAUGUUUCCUAGGACAAGAACUCCAAGCCAGGCAUACUUAUCUUCCUUGGGGAUUUAUCGUUGUGGCUGUUGCAUUCCAACAUUCUUUUCUCAGGAUUGACAGAGUUCUCACUAUCCAAUAUAGGACAAAGAGAAGAAAAGAAGAAGCAGACCCCAAACCCUGGCCUAUCCUGCAGGGAGAAAUAGGGCUUAGAAGUGAAAGCAAAGGGGGCAGCUAGAUGGUGCAGUGGAUAGAGCACCGGCCCUGGAGUCAGGAGGACCCGAGUUCAAAUCGGCCUCAGACACUUAACACUUACUGUCUGUGUGACCCUGAGCAAGUCACUUAACCCCAAUUGCCUCACCAAAAAAAAAAAAGAAGUGAAAGCAGAAGCAAUGUCAUUAUAGCUUCCAUAUAGGCCUUAAGAAAGUUGAAAACCUGGCCUAGCAGUAAAUGUCAUCACUCAUUACUACGGAUCCUUGCCUGCUUUCUAGCCCCUGGAAACUUUAGAAGCAAGGAUCCAUGUAGACCACGAUUAAAUUAACUCCACAAUACCCAAUUCCCUGGGGUCCUGAUGUCUCUAUCCCCCUGCCCUCCAUCUGUUUUUUCAUGUACUUACCUAAUAAGGUGUUGUAUAAGAUAGAUGGAUAAGAUGCCUCUAAUGGGUAUCCACCUAAGGCCCACCUUCACAAAUCAAGUUCUUUGCAACCAUCAUGAUUUAAGCCAAAAUAUCUGAUGUUUGCUCAGAUGAAGGAUGAAAGUGGGAUCACAAGGAGACAGUGGUCUAUACCAGUCUACCUUCAAAAGAUCAUGCGUGGUGUGAUUGGAACAUUUCUACAUUGGAAAAUUAUAAUAAUGUCUGUACUUUCAGGUCAUCUCAGUAAAAGCAAAUACUUAUAUGCUAAAACAAUAUUAUUUUGUAAAAAUCACUGGAACCUUCAGACAUAAAGAGUGAAAUGAGAGUAUUCUAGUGGACCAGUGUUCUAACAAAAGUAUUCCAUUGUAUCAUCAACACUCUUUUGUCCACUAUGAUUAAUAUUGAAUGACU
RNA transcript from Dromiciops gliroides (monito del monte), 3685 nucleotides. It is a transcript of the gene named radial spoke head 3, with no coding region annotated. Lineage: Eukaryota; Metazoa; Chordata; Mammalia; Microbiotheria; Microbiotheriidae. The transcript is spliced from 10 exons. The record is from RefSeq and is a predicted model, not a curated record.